This 209-nucleotide long non-coding RNA is filed under the name Medicago truncatula (barrel medic). RNAcentral's name for it is "lncRNA gene13511". Lineage: Eukaryota; Viridiplantae; Streptophyta; Magnoliopsida; Fabales; Fabaceae. The record is from RNAcentral.
GAACAAGGGUUAAAGAGGAGAGGAACUUAAAGAAUUCAAGGGUUUGAAGAAUCAUAGGAGCAAAAGUGAAGCUAGAGCUAAUAGUUGGAGAUAAUUAAGGUUCAUGAUGUAGGAAAAUGGGUAGUUUGUAAAUUAUGCUCAAUUGGUGAAUUAUGCAUGGUUUGAUGUUAUGGAUGCUAAUUCAUGGCUUGGGUAUGCAUGAUUCAUAA